Molecule: ribosomal RNA, 783 nt
Filed under: uncultured Neocallimastigales
Lineage: Eukaryota; Fungi; Neocallimastigomycota; Neocallimastigomycetes; Neocallimastigales
Description: partial large subunit ribosomal RNA
Rfam family: Eukaryotic large subunit ribosomal RNA
Source: RNAcentral
GAGACUCUGUGCGCGUGCAUAUCAAUAAGCGGAGGAAAAGAAACUAACAAGGAUUCCCUUAGUAACGGCGAGUGAAGCGGGAAGAGCUCAAAUUUGAAAUCUUCAAGGUUUUACCUUGACGAAUUGUAGUUUAAAGAAGUAUUUUCUGUUGAAGUUUUGGUAAAAGUUCUUUGGAAUAGGACAUCAUAGAGGGUGAGAAUCCCGUAUUUGACCAUUACUUUCCAGCUGUGUGAUACACUUUCAGAGAGUCGGAUUGUUUGGGAAUGCAGUCCAAAAUGGGUGGUAAAUUUCAUCUAAAGCUAAAUAUUGGCGAGAGACCGAUAGCGAACAAGUACCGUGAGGGAAGAUGAAAAGAACUUUGAAAAGAGAGUUAAACAGUACGUGAAAUUGUCAAAAGGGAAGCGUUUGACACCAGUGUUGUUUUUCUCGAAAAUCAAUUAAACUGAUGGAUUUUGUUUUGAGGAGUUAUGACUUCAUCAGCUUUCUGCACUUUCUUUACUAUCUUUCUUAAUGCACUUUUCGUUUAACAAGUCAACAUCAAUUUCUUUUGUUGUAAAAGAGUCAUGAGGAAGGUGGCUUUUCUUUCGGAGAAAGUGUUUAUAGCCUUGUGCCUCUGCAAUCGGAGAGAUUGAGGUCUGCAGGCGUAGAUCCUUCGGGGUUAGAUACAGUUUGUGCUAAGUUAUAGCCUUUCAUAGACAACUUGUUGACUAUGAUCAGUCAUGUAGCUUACUCGCGUGAUGCUAUUUUACCUACGCUUAGGAUGUUGAGUCGUAGAGCACGCAG